RNAcentral lists this ribosomal RNA (255 nucleotides) under uncultured bacterium. Its description in RNAcentral is "partial small subunit ribosomal RNA". It matches the Rfam family "Bacterial small subunit ribosomal RNA", at positions 26 to 285 of the family's 1533-position model. The record is from RNAcentral.
AGGACGAACGCUGGCGGCGUGCUUAAACACAUGCAAGUCGAGCGGAAAGGCCCUUCGGGGUACUCGAGCGGCGAACGGGUGAGUAACACGUGAGUAAUCUGCCCCUAGCUCUGGGAUAGCUCCGGGAAACCGGGAUUAAUACCAGAUACAACCACUUUAGACAUCUCUUGUGGUGGAAAGAAUUUCGGCUAGGGAUGAACUCGCGGCCUAUCAGCUUGUUGGUGAGGUAACGGCUCACCAAGGCGACGACGGGUA